AAAUAUGUAAAAUUGUCCCCAACAAUCUCGAAAAUCAAGGGAUUACCUCCGCAUAGCUUCCAAUGUCGGGAUGGUCCUCUUAGACUAGUCAUCGGUCUGAGGAUGGAAGGCGGACAUCUUUUCUCUUCUCUUAGCGUGCACAGUUUGCUUACAUACCGCCUUAGGCACAUCUCUCUUUCAAAAAUGGUGUAUACGACGAUGCCGCCUAUUUUCAUUUCGUGGAAGUCCCCAGCAGAGGAAAGGGAUGUAGGAGAAUGCGUGUUAUGCUUCUUAUGACGAGAGCGCUCAUUGAUGAGACGCCGAUAUAGAGAAGAAAGUAUACCCUUUGUCACCCCCUUAUCACUUAAAAGUAGAGAGAUACACACUUUGGAAUCAAAAUUUGGUGGGAUUUAGGAUGGAUCGAAUAGCGAAUGCCUUAUCUUACUUAGUAAAGCAACCUUUCUCGCUAGGCGCUCACCUUUUUUGUCGGGAUGGAAGCUGGCGGGCAGGGCUUGCUUAACCGGAUACAGGAAAUUGGGAUCUCUGUUGCAUGCAAAUAUUUCUAUUGGGAAAGCCUCAAGGCACUAAUAGAGUAUAGCAAGUUGCUCGUACGAUAGCAAUAACUUGAUUGCAAGAUUACCAACCAAUAGCUACAAUAAUAUAUUGCACCAGUCACAUUGAUUUGAUUAGCUUACUGUUCGAGACAAAUUUUGUGUACGGAAAUUAAUAACUGCAAU
Molecule: long non-coding RNA, 716 nt
Filed under: Nicotiana benthamiana
Lineage: Eukaryota; Viridiplantae; Streptophyta; Magnoliopsida; Solanales; Solanaceae
Description: long non-coding RNA (NBEN_LNC005080)
Source: RNAcentral